GCGCAGCAGGCGCGAAACUUUACAAUGUGCGAAAGCACGAUAAGGGAACUCUGAGUGCCUCCUAAGGAGGCUGUUCAGGUGUCUAAAAGCACCUGAAGGAAGGGCUGGGUAAGACCGGUGCCAGCCGCCGCGGUAACACCGGCAGCCCAAGUGGUAGCCACGUUUAUUGGGUCUAAAGCGUCCGUAGCCGGCUGGGUAAGUUCCUUGGGAAAUUUGGCUGCUUAACAGUCAAGCUUUCAGGGAAUACUGCCCGGCUUGGGACCGGGAGAGGUCAGAGGUACUCCAGGGGUAGGGGUGAAGUCCAUUAAUCCUUGGGGGACCACCGGUAGCGAAGGCGUCUGACCAGACCGGGUCCGACGGUGAGGGACGAAGGCUAGGGGCGCGAACCGGAUUAGAUACCCGCGUAGU
RNAcentral lists this ribosomal RNA (408 nucleotides) under uncultured microorganism. RNAcentral's name for it is "bacterial SSU rRNA". It matches the Rfam family "Archaeal small subunit ribosomal RNA", at positions 330 to 745 of the family's 1478-position model. The record is from RNAcentral.